This 465-nucleotide ribosomal RNA is filed under the name uncultured Klebsiella sp. Its description in RNAcentral is "bacterial SSU rRNA". It matches the Rfam family "Bacterial small subunit ribosomal RNA", at positions 338 to 795 of the family's 1533-position model. The record is from RNAcentral. Lineage: Bacteria; Pseudomonadati; Pseudomonadota; Gammaproteobacteria; Enterobacterales; Enterobacteriaceae.
CCUACGGGUGGCUGCAGUGGGGAAUAUUGCACAAUGGGCGCAAGCCUGAUGCAGCCAUGCCGCGUGUGUGAAGAAGGCCUUCGGGUUGUAAAGCACUUUCAGCGGGGAGGAAGGCGGUGAGGUUAAUAACCUCAUCGAUUGACGUUACCCGCAGAAGAAGCACCGGCUAACUCCGUGCCAGCAGCCGCGGUAAUACGGAGGGUGCAAGCGUUAAUCGGAAUUACUGGGCGUAAAGCGCACGCAGGCGGUCUGUCAAGUCGGAUGUGAAAUCCCCGGGCUCAACCUGGGAACUGCAUUCGAAACUGGUAGGCUAGAGUCUUGUAGAGGGGGGUAGAAUUCCAGGUGUAGCGGUGAAAUGCGUAGAGAUCUGGAGGAAUACCGGUGGCGAAGGCGGCCCCCUGGACAAAGACUGACGCUCAGGUGCGAAAGCGUGGGGAGCAAACAGGAUUAGAUACCCCUGUAGUC